UUAUUUGAUUUUCUUCGGAACUGAAGAUUUGGUGACUGAGUGGCGGACGGGUGAGUAACGCGUGGGUAACCUGCCCUGUACAGGGGGAUAACAAUCAGAAAUGACUGCUAAUACCGCAUAAGACCACAGCACCGCACGGUGCAGGGGUAAAAACUCCGGUGGUACAGGAUGGACCCGCGUCUGAUUAGCUAGUUGGUGAGGUAACGGCUCACCAAGGCGACGAUCGGUAGCCGACCUGAGAGGGUGAUCGGCCACAUUGGGACUGAGACACGGCCCAAACUCC
Molecule: ribosomal RNA, 283 nt
Filed under: uncultured Lachnospiraceae bacterium
Lineage: Bacteria; Bacillati; Bacillota; Clostridia; Lachnospirales; Lachnospiraceae
Description: partial 16S ribosomal RNA
Rfam family: Bacterial small subunit ribosomal RNA
Source: RNAcentral